Molecule: ribosomal RNA, 469 nt
Filed under: Flavobacterium sp. DB4.1-8
Lineage: Bacteria; Pseudomonadati; Bacteroidota; Flavobacteriia; Flavobacteriales; Flavobacteriaceae
Description: bacterial SSU rRNA
Rfam family: Bacterial small subunit ribosomal RNA
Source: RNAcentral
CUGGCUCAGGAUGAACGCUAGCGGCAGGCUUAACACAUGCAAGUCGAGGGGUAUAUCUCUUCGGAGAUAGAGACCGGCGCACGGGUGCGUAACGCGUAUGCAAUCUGCCUUUCACAGAGGGAUAGCCCAGAGAAAUUUGGAUUAAUACCUCAUAGUAUUAUAGGAUGGCAUCAUUUUAUAAUUAAAGUCACAACGGUGAAAGAUGAGCAUGCGUCCCAUUAGCUAGUUGGUAAGGUAACGGCUUACCAAGGCAACGAUGGGUAGGGGUCCUGAGAGGGAGAUCCCCCACACUGGUACUGAGACACGGACCAGACUCCUACGGGAGGCAGCAGUGAGGAAUAUUGGACAAUGGGCGCAAGCCUGAUCCAGCCAUGCCGCGUGCAGGAUGACGGUCCUAUGGAUUGUAAACUGCUUUUGUACGAGAAGAAACACUGAUUCGUGAAUCAGCUUGACGGUAUCGUAAGAAUAA